Molecule: ribosomal RNA, 448 nt
Filed under: uncultured bacterium
Lineage: Bacteria
Description: bacterial SSU rRNA
Rfam family: Bacterial small subunit ribosomal RNA
Source: RNAcentral
AACGAAUGCUGGCGGCAUGCCUAACACAUGCAAGUCGAACGAAGUCUUCGGACUUAGUGGCGCACGGGUGCGUAACGCGUGGGAAUCUGCCCUUGGGUGCGGAAUAACUUCUCGAAAGGGAUGCUAAUACCGCAUAAUGUCGUAAGACCAAAGAUUUAUCGCCCAAGGAUGAGCCCGCGUAAGAUUAGCUAGUUGGUGGGGUAAAAGCCUACCAAGGCGACGAUCUUUAGCUGGUCUGAGAGGAUGAUCAGCCACACUGGGACUGAGACACGGCCCAGACUCCUACGGGAGGCAGCAGUGGGGAAUAUUGGACAAUGGGCGAAAGCCUGAUCCAGCAAUGCCGCGUGAGUGAUGAAGGCCUUAGGUUGUAAAGCUCUUUACCCGGGAUGAUAAUGACAGUACCGGGAGAAUAAGCCCCGGCUAACUCCGUGCCAGCAGCCGCGGUAAU